Molecule: ribosomal RNA, 433 nt
Filed under: uncultured bacterium
Lineage: Bacteria
Description: partial 16S ribosomal RNA
Rfam family: Bacterial small subunit ribosomal RNA
Source: RNAcentral
AACGAACGCUGGCGGCAUGCCUAACACAUGCAAGUCGAACGAGACCUUCGGGUCUAGUGGCGCACGGGUGCGUAACGCGUGGGAACCUGCCCUUAGGUUCGGAAUAACUCCCCGAAAGGGGUGCUAAUACCGGAUAAUGUCUUCGGACCAAAGAUUUAUCGCCUUUGGAUGGGCCCGCGUUGGAUUAGCUAGUUGGUAGGGUAAAAGCCUACCAAGGCGCCGAUCCAUACAUGGUCUGAGAGGAUGAUCAGCCACACUGGGACUGAGACACGGCCCAGACUCCUACGGGAGGCAGCAGUGGGGAAUAUUGGACAAUGGGCGAAAGCCUGAUCCAGCAAUGCCGCGUGAGUGAUGAAGGCAUUAGGGUUGUAAAGCUCUUUUACCCGGGAUGAUAAUGACAGUACCGGGAGAAUAAGCUCCGGCUAACUCCGUG